Molecule: ribosomal RNA, 253 nt
Filed under: uncultured Bacteroides sp.
Lineage: Bacteria; Pseudomonadati; Bacteroidota; Bacteroidia; Bacteroidales; Bacteroidaceae
Description: partial 16S ribosomal RNA
Rfam family: Bacterial small subunit ribosomal RNA
Source: RNAcentral
UACGGAGGAUCCAAGCGUUAUCCGGAUUUAUUGGGUUUAAAGGGUGCGUAGGCGGUUUGAUAAGUUAGAGGUGAAAUACCGGUGCUCAACACCGGAACUGCCUCUAAUACUGUUGAACUAGAGAGUAGUUGCGGUAGGCGGAAUGUAUGGUGUAGCGGUGAAAUGCUUAGAGAUCAUACAGAACACCGAUUGCGAAGGCAGCUCACUGGACUGCAACUGACACUGAGGCUCGAAAGUGUGGGUAUCAAACAGG